This 497-nucleotide ribosomal RNA is filed under the name uncultured bacterium. Its description in RNAcentral is "partial 16S ribosomal RNA". It matches the Rfam family "Bacterial small subunit ribosomal RNA", at positions 28 to 507 of the family's 1533-position model. The record is from RNAcentral.
GAUGAACGCUGGCGGCGUGCCUAAUACAUGCAAGUCGAGCGAACAGACCCGGAUCUUGCUCCUCUGACGUUAGCGGCGCACGGGUGUGUCACACGAGGAUACCCCCCCUAUAAGACUGGGAUAAUUUCGGGAAACCGGCGCUAAUACCGGAUAAUAUCUUGAACCGUAUUGUUCAAUAGUGAAUUACGGCUUUGCUGUCACUUAUCGAUGGACCCGCGCCGCAUUAGCUAGUGGGUAAGGUAACGGCUUACCAAGGCAACGAUGCGUAGCCGACCUGAUAGAGUGAUAGGCCACAUUAGAGGUGAGACACGGUCCAGACUACUACGGGAGGGAGCAGUAGGGAAUCUGCCGCAAUGGGCGAGAGCAUGACGGAGCAAGGGGACGUGAGUGGUGGAGACCUUGGGAGCGUAAAACUCUGUUACUAGGGAAGAACAAAUGUGUAAGUAGCUGUGCACGGCUUGACGGUACCGAAUCAGAAAGCCACGGCUAACUACGUG